GGUAUCGGCCGAGCGCUUCGGUACUAUUGUAGAAAA
RNAcentral lists this small RNA (36 nucleotides) under Spodoptera frugiperda (fall armyworm). RNAcentral's name for it is "LNCR rasiRNA". Lineage: Eukaryota; Metazoa; Arthropoda; Insecta; Lepidoptera; Noctuidae. The record is from RNAcentral.